CGCCGCGUGUGUGAUGAAGGCCUUCGGGUUGUAAAGCACUGUCGGAGGGGAAGAAUGAAUGACGGUACCCUCCAAGAAAGCCCCGGCUAACUACGUGC
This 98-nucleotide ribosomal RNA is filed under the name uncultured bacterium. Its description in RNAcentral is "partial 16S ribosomal RNA". It matches the Rfam family "Bacterial small subunit ribosomal RNA", at positions 395 to 508 of the family's 1533-position model. The record is from RNAcentral.